This 490-nucleotide ribosomal RNA is filed under the name uncultured bacterium. RNAcentral describes it as "partial 16S ribosomal RNA". It matches the Rfam family "Bacterial small subunit ribosomal RNA", at positions 30 to 507 of the family's 1533-position model. The record is from RNAcentral.
AUUGAACGCUGGCGGCAUGCUUUACACAUGCAAGUCGGACGGCAGCGGGGUAGUGCUUGCACUACUGCCGGCGAGUGGCGAACGGGUGAGUAAUAUAUUGGAACGUACCGAGUAAUGGGGGAUAACCAAUCGAAAGAUUGGCUAAUACCGCAUACGCUCUGAGGAGGAAAGCAGGGGACCUUCGGGCCUUGCGUUAUUCGAGCGGCCAAUAUCUGAUUAGCUAGUUGGUGGGGUAAGGGCCUACCAAGGCGACGAUCAGUAGCGGGUCUGAGAGGAUGAUCCGCCACACUGUGACUGAGACACGGCCCAGACUCCUACGGGAGGCAGCAGUGGGGAAUUUUGGACAAUGGGCGCAAGCCUGAUCCAGCCAUGCCGCGUGUCUGAAGAAGGCCUUCGGGUUGUAAAGGACUUUUGUUAGGGAAGAAAAAGGAGCGGUUAAUACCCGUUUCUGCUGACGGUACCUAAAGAAUAAGCACCGGCUAACUACGUG